Molecule: long non-coding RNA, 772 nt
Organism: Ornithodoros turicata
Lineage: Eukaryota; Metazoa; Arthropoda; Arachnida; Ixodida; Argasidae
Exons: 3
Source: RefSeq, a predicted model, not a curated record
AAAAACGAUGUAUUGUUUUCAAUGGGUGGCUUCCACUGAUCUCGAUUGUAAAAGGCUGGAUCGCGGAUAGGGAGCGCGAGCGUGAAGAAACCGGCCGCCAUCUUACGGUGCCCACAACAGCCGCCGCAGCGAUCAUGGCAACUUCUUGCAAUUACGGUCGUACCAACCGUACUGGCAAGGUUACAGGGCCUAAACUUAUACAGGUUUCGUCAUGAGGGCUGCCCAGUGAAUAAUCUGUGCAGUGUGAUACGGCUGGGUGUACAGGUUACUUCACAGCUGCCUCGACAUACUCAAGAAAUGGGUGCAGAACCUGCGUAAUGCCCGCAAACUUUGACUACCACAGCAUCUCCAGAAAGUAAAGGGAUAUGUGUCACAUGGGAUUUUUAAAGGCAUUCACAGUAUAUAAUACCUUGUAUGAACUGUUGUAGAUCUAAGCAGCCUCUACAGUACACUCUCAGAAAUUAAAACUUGUCAGGGAACUGUGAUAAUUGUUUCAGUUAAUAGGCAUGCACAUAUACGCUAUAAGAAGACAAUUAUUUAUUGAGAAUGCACUUCUCUGGCUACUCAUGUUGUUUACAUCUACUGUUGAUCACAUUCAUUUAUCACAUAUUAUAUUCUUAUAUAUUAUUAUUAUAUUAUCACAUAUUCGAUCACAUUAAAUUUAAAAUUUAGCAUAUAUGAGAAAAUAUCAGUGGGGAAGUUGCUAUUCAUUGCUCAUUCCAGCCUAAAGUUGAGUGCUACAAAUUUAGAUAGCGUACCUGACCAUUGUCAU